RNAcentral lists this ribosomal RNA (497 nucleotides) under uncultured bacterium. Its description in RNAcentral is "partial 16S ribosomal RNA". It matches the Rfam family "Bacterial small subunit ribosomal RNA", at positions 28 to 507 of the family's 1533-position model. The record is from RNAcentral.
GAUGAACGCUGGCGGCGUGCCUAAUACAUGCAAGUCGAGCGAACAGACGAGGAGCUUGCUCCUCUGACGUUAGCGGCGGACGGGUGAGUAACACGUGGAUAACCUACCUAUAAGACUGGGAUAACUUCGGGAAACCGGAGCUAAUACCGGAUAAUAUAUUGAACCGCAUGGUUCAAUAGUGAAAGACGGUUUUGCUGUCACUUAUAGAUGGAUCCGCGCCGCAUUAGCUAGUUGGUAAGGUAACGGCUUACCAAGGCGACGAGGCGUAGCCGACCUGAGAGGGUGAUCGGCCACACUGGAACUGAGACACGGUCCAGACUCCUACGGGAGGCAGCAGUAGGGAAUCUUCCGCAAUGGGCGAAAGCCUGACGGAGCAACGCCGCGUGAGUGAUGAAGGUCUUCGGAUCGUAAAACUCUGUUAUGAGGGAAGAACAAAUGUGUAAGUAACUAUGCACGUCUUGACGGUACCUAAUCAGAAAGCCACGGCUAACUACGUG